AGAGUUUGAUCAUGGCUCAGGAUGAACGCUGGCGGCGUGCCUAACACAUGCAAGUCGAACGAAGCAUUUACACGGAUUUCCUUCGGGGAUGAAGGGUUUAUGACUGAGUGGCGGACGGGUGAGUAACGCGUGGGCAACCUGCCCCGUACCGGGGGACAACAGCCGGAAACGGCUGCUAAUACCGUAUACGUUUUAAGGACCGCAUGGUCCGUAAAACAAAACUCCGGUGGUACGGGAUGGGCCCGCGUCUGAUUAGCUCGUUGGCGGGGUAACGGCCCACCAAGGCGACGAUCAGUAGCCGGCCUGAGAGGGCGGCCGGCCACAUUGGGACUGAGACACGGCCCAGACUCCUGCGGGAGGCAGCAGUGGGGAAUAUUGCACAAUGGGGGAAACCCUGAUGCAGCGACGCCGCGUGAGCGAGGAAGUACUUCAGUAUGUAAAGCUCUGUCAGCAGGGAAAAAAAUGACAGUACCUGACCAAGAAGCCCCGGCUAACUA
This 497-nucleotide ribosomal RNA is filed under the name uncultured bacterium. RNAcentral describes it as "bacterial SSU rRNA". It matches the Rfam family "Bacterial small subunit ribosomal RNA", at positions 8 to 503 of the family's 1533-position model. The record is from RNAcentral.